RNAcentral lists this long non-coding RNA (262 nucleotides) under Homo sapiens (human). RNAcentral's name for it is "non-protein coding lnc-CCDC74A-6:3". The record is from RNAcentral. Lineage: Eukaryota; Metazoa; Chordata; Mammalia; Primates; Hominidae.
GGAGAAGGAAUCACCUGUGGUACGCUGGAGCCUGCAUGUGGCGUGACUCUGCAGCUCGCCUCAUGUGAUUGGUGGCAGCCACAGAGACUGCAGCUCGACAGGAGUGAAUUAUCAGGAGUCGGCGCCGUGGCAGCUUUGGGAUAACUUGAGGGCGCAUCCUGGGGAAGAAACACCUCCUGUCCGUGGUGCUGACUGCGGAGGACAGCGCUUCGGCGUGGCUUCUCCGUGGCCCAGCUUCUUUGGUGCAUUUUUCUUUCAUGGU